Molecule: long non-coding RNA, 793 nt
Organism: Myxocyprinus asiaticus (Chinese sucker)
Lineage: Eukaryota; Metazoa; Chordata; Actinopteri; Cypriniformes; Catostomidae
Exons: 3
Source: RefSeq, a predicted model, not a curated record
CUGGUGGUGAGCCUAGAGGAAAGAGCAAUCUACAAGAAUUGACUGGUCCUGCCCUGACCAUCUGCAGCUGAUUUGACUUUGACACUAAUGCAGGAUGCUGGAUUAUUUCAAAGUGGUUUAUUGGCAUGCUUUACUGGUUGGUGGACAAACAGAUAGUCCUGGACCAAACUCAUACCAUUGGUUGAGUAAGUAUUGCUGUGUCAGGCUGGUCGGGAUGCUCAAACAAACCAGACUGAUCUCAGAGUGAAAUCAGAAACAGUAGGUUGACUUUUCUUAUCGAUAAUCGGUCUGUGCUUACCGAAAUGUGAAAAACUGCCCCCAGUGGCCAAAGCGGUAACUGUUGUUGGGCGUAUGGGAAUGUGUAAGCUUUUUUUCCAAGUGAAAUGUCCACGGAGGGGCGCCAGAAGCGAGUUUUUUUUUAGCUGUAUAGGCUAUAAUGCAGUAAAGAGGUAUGCAUAAAUAAACUUAACCCGCAGUUAUAGUAAGACACUUGCAAUGUAAGUGAAUGGGGCCAGUCCAUAAAUGUUAUAAUGCUCACAGUUUCAAAAGUUUAUCCACAAGAAUUGUACAUUAUUUAUGAUAAUGAUUUUAGUGUGAUUAAAAUCAGGGAUUGUCCAGCAUUCUGGAGUUUACCAGAUUACAGGGCUUACUGGCAUUACGUUGUCAUGACUUUACACAGAUAAGGUUAGUAAGCAAUUUUAUUAACCUACAAUCAUGUUACACUUCUAUUAAAUGAGCCUUAUAGUAGUUUUUUUUUUUUUAAUAAACGAGGGAGUCAAAAUAAUUUUUUGUG